This 407-nucleotide ribosomal RNA is filed under the name uncultured bacterium. RNAcentral's name for it is "partial 16S ribosomal RNA". It matches the Rfam family "Bacterial small subunit ribosomal RNA", at positions 28 to 526 of the family's 1533-position model. The record is from RNAcentral.
GACGAACGCUGGCGGCGUGCUUAACACAUGCAAGUCGAACGAAGUGGCGAACGGUUGAGUAAUACGUGGGAACCUGCCCUCCUUUUUGGGCUAAUCCUUGGAAACGGGGUCUAAUACCGAAUAUUUUAGGAUGGGCUCGCGGCCUAUCAGCUUGUUGGUGGGGUGAUGGCCUACCAAGGCGGUGACGGGUCGCCGGCCUGAGAGGAUGAUCAGUCACACUGGAAAUGAGACACGGUGCAGACUCCUACGGGAGGCAGCAGGGGGGAAUAUGGGACAAUGGGCGAAAGCCUGAUCCAGCCAUGCCGCGUGUGUGAAGAAGGUCUUCGGAUUGUAAAGAACUUUAAGUUGGGAGGCGUUACCAACAGAAUAAGCACCGGCUAACUUCGUGCCAGCCGCCGCGGUAAUAC